CCUCAGUAACGGCGAGUGAAGCGGCAACAGCUCAAAUUUGAAAUCUGGCCCUAGGCCCGAGUUGUAAUUUGCAGAGGAUGUUUCUGGCGAGGUGCCUUCCGAGUGCCCUGGAACGGGACGCCAUAGAGGGUGAGAGCCCCGUACGGUUGGUCGCUAAGCCUCUGUGAAACUCCUUCGACGAGUCGAGUAGUUUGGGAAUGCUGCUCUAAAUGGGAGGUAUACGUCUUCUAAAGCUAAAUACCGGCCAGAGACCGAUAGCGCACAAGUAGAGUGAUCGAAAGAUGAAAAGCACUUUGAAAAGAGGGUUAAACAGUACGUGAAAUUGUUGAAAGGGAAGCGCUCAUGACCAGACUUGGGCCGGUUGAUCAUCCGCCGUUCUCGGCGGUGCACUCUGCCGGCUCAGGCCAGCAUCAGUUUGGUCCGGGGGAUAAAGGUGUAGGGAAUGUGGCUCCCCCCGGGGAGUGUUAUAGCCCUGCGCGUAAUACCCUGGACUGGACUGAGGUUCGCGCAUCUGCAAGGAUGCUGGCGUAAUGGUUAUCAGUGACCCGUCUUGAAACACGGACCAAGGAGUCGUCUUCGUAUGCGAGUGUUCGGGUGUCAAACCCCUACGCGUAAUGAAAGUGAACGUAGGAGAGAGCUUCGGCGCAUCUCCGACCGAUCCUGAUGUUCUCGGAUGGAUUUGAGUAAGAGCAUACGGGGCCGGACCCGAAAGAAGGUGAACUAUGNNUGUAUAGGGUGAAGCCAGAGGAAACUCUGGUGGAGGCUCGNNNNGGUUCUGACGUGCAAAUCGAUCGUCAAAUAUGGGCAUGGGGGCGAAAGACUAAUCGAACCUUCUAGUAGCUGGUUUCCGCCGAAGNUCCCCUCAGGAA
Molecule: ribosomal RNA, 869 nt
Filed under: Hydropisphaera suffulta
Lineage: Eukaryota; Fungi; Ascomycota; Sordariomycetes; Hypocreales; Bionectriaceae
Description: eukaryotic LSU rRNA
Rfam family: Eukaryotic large subunit ribosomal RNA
Source: RNAcentral